RNAcentral lists this ribosomal RNA (101 nucleotides) under Staphylococcus aureus. RNAcentral describes it as "partial 23S ribosomal RNA". It matches the Rfam family "Bacterial large subunit ribosomal RNA", at positions 2824 to 2925 of the family's 2925-position model. The record is from RNAcentral. Lineage: Bacteria; Bacillati; Bacillota; Bacilli; Caryophanales; Staphylococcaceae.
GGUUAUAAGAUCCCUCAAAGAUGAUGAGGUUAAUAGGUUCGAGGUGGAAGCAUGGUGACAUGUGGAGCUGACGAAUACUAAUCGAUCGAAGACUUAAUCAA